AGCAGCCGCGGUAAUUUCAGCUCCAAUAGCGUAUAUUAAAGUUGUUGCAGUUAAAAAGCUCGUAGUUGAAUUUCGGGGUUAGUAGGUUGGUCAUGCCUCUGGUAUGUACUGGUCUCACUGAUUCCUCCUUCCUGAUGAACCUUAAUGCCAUUAAUUUGGUGUUUUGGGGAAUUUGGACUGUUACUUUGAAAAAAUUAGAGUGUUUAAAGCAAGCUAACGCUUGAAUACAUUAGCAUGGAAUAAUGAAAUAGGACGUUCGAUCCUAUUUUGUUGGUUUCUAGGAUUGACGUAAUGAUUAAUAGGGAUAGUUGGGGGCAUUAGUAUUCAAUUGUCAGAGGUGAAAUUCUUGGAUUUAUUGAAGACUAACUACUGCGAAAGCAUUUGCCAAGGAUGUUUUCAUUAAUCAAGAACGAAAGUUAGGGGAUCGAAGACGAUCAGAUACCGUCGUAGUCUUAACCAUAAACUAUGCCGACUAGGGAUCGGAUGAUGUUAAUUUUUAAUGACUCAUUCGGCGCCUUAC
Molecule: ribosomal RNA, 520 nt
Filed under: uncultured Glomus
Lineage: Eukaryota; Fungi; Glomeromycota; Glomeromycetes; Glomerales; Glomeraceae
Description: SSU rRNA
Rfam family: Eukaryotic small subunit ribosomal RNA
Source: RNAcentral